RNAcentral lists this unclassified non-coding RNA (391 nucleotides) under soil metagenome. RNAcentral's name for it is "partial contains 5.8S ribosomal RNA, internal transcribed spacer 2, and large subunit ribosomal RNA". The stretch from base 1 to 122 matches the Rfam family "5.8S ribosomal RNA", at positions 35 to 154 of the family's 154-position model. The record is from RNAcentral.
GAUGAAGAACGGAGCGAAAUGCGAUACUUGGUGUGAAUUGCAGAAUCCCGUGAACCAUCGAGUCUUUGAACGCAAGUUGCGCCCGAAGCCAUUAGGCCGAGGGCACGCCUGCCUGGGUGUCACACGUCGUUGCCCCCCCAUCUACUCCUUCGGGAUUGCGGGGGGCGGAUGAUGGCCUCCCGUGCGCCUCGUCGCGCGGUUGGCAUAAAUGCCAAGUCCUCGGCGACGCACGCCACGACAAUCGGUGGUUGCGAAACCUCGGUUGCCAGUCGUGUGCGGUCGUCGCGCAUCGAGGGCUCGAAAAAAUUGCCGGGCUCCGGCUCGGCUUUCAACGCGACCCCAGGUCAGGCGGGGUUACCCGCUGAAUUUAAGCAUAUCAAUAAGCGGAGGA